This 784-nucleotide ribosomal RNA is filed under the name uncultured bacterium. Its description in RNAcentral is "bacterial SSU rRNA". It matches the Rfam family "Bacterial small subunit ribosomal RNA", at positions 24 to 807 of the family's 1533-position model. The record is from RNAcentral.
UCAGGAUGAACGCUGGCGGCAUGCCUAACACAUGCAAGUCGAACGGGGUUUAUAUAACAGAACUCUCCGGAGGGAAGAUAUAUAAACCUAGUGGCGGACGGGUGAGUAACGCGUGGGCAACCUGCCCUGUACCGGGGGACAACAGCCAGAAAUGGCUGCUAAUACCGCAUAAGCCUGCUGUGCCGCAUGGCACAGCAGGGAAAACCACGGUGGUACAGGAUGGGCCCGCGUCUGAUUAGUUAGUUGGCAGGGUAACGGCCUACCAAGACAACGAUCAGUAGCCGGCUUGAGAGAGUGGACGGCCACAUUGGGACUGAGACACGGCCCAGACUCCUGCGGGAGGCAGCAGUGGGGAAUAUUGCACAAUGGGGGGAACCCUGAUGCAGCAAUGCCGCGUGGGUGAAGAAGCACUCCGGUGCGUAAAGCCCUGUCAGCAGGGAAGAAAAUGACAGUACCUGGACAAGAAGCCCCGGCUAACUACGUGCCAGCAGCCGCGGUAAUACGUAGGGGGCAAGCGUUAUCCGGAUUUACUGGGUGUAAAGGGAGCGCAGGCGGCGUGGCAAGUCAGAUGUGAAAACCCGGGGCCCAACCCCGGGAGUGCAUUUGAAACUGCCAUGCUGGAGUGCCGGAGAGGUAAGCGGAAUUCCUAGUGUAGCGGUGAAAUGCGUAGAUAUUAGGAGGAACACCAGUGGCGGAGGCGGCUUACUGGACGGUAACUGACGCUGAGGCUCGAAAGCGUGGGGAGCAAACAGGAUUAGAUACCCUGGUAGUCCACGCCGUAAAC